This 468-nucleotide ribosomal RNA is filed under the name uncultured bacterium. RNAcentral's name for it is "partial 16S ribosomal RNA". It matches the Rfam family "Bacterial small subunit ribosomal RNA", at positions 28 to 507 of the family's 1533-position model. The record is from RNAcentral.
GAUGAACGCUGGCGGCGUGCUUAACACAUGCAAGUCGAACGGUGAAGGCGGAGCUUGCUCUGCUGGAUCAGUGGCGAACGGGUGAGUAACACGUGAGCAAUCUGCCCCUGACUCUGGGAUAAGCGCUGGAAACGGCGUCUAAUACUGGAUACGAGCUGCGAAGGCAUCUUCAGCAGCUGGAAAUAAUUUCGGUCAGGGAUGAGCUCGCGGCCUAUCAGCUUGUUGGUUAGGUAAUGGCUCACCAAGGCGUCGACGGGUAGCCGGCCUGAGAGGGUGACCGGCCACAAUGGGACUGAGACACGGACCAGACUCCUACGGGAGGCAGCAGUGGGGAAUAUUGCACAAUGGGCGAAAGCCUGAUGCAGCAACGCCGCGUGAGGGACGACGGCCUUCGGGUUGUAAACCUCUUUUAGCAGGGAAGAAGCGAAAGUGACGGUACCUGAAGAAAAAGCGCCGGCUAACUACGUG